RNAcentral lists this ribosomal RNA (372 nucleotides) under uncultured organism. RNAcentral describes it as "bacterial SSU rRNA". It matches the Rfam family "Bacterial small subunit ribosomal RNA", at positions 526 to 896 of the family's 1533-position model. The record is from RNAcentral.
CGUAGGAGGCGAGCGUUAUCCGGAUUCACUGGGCGUAAAGCGCGUGCAGGUGGCUUGGUAAGUUAGGCGUGAAAUCUCCCGGCUCAACUGGGAGAGGUCGUCUAAUACUACCGGGCUUGAGAGCAGAAGAGGAAGAUGGAAUUCCCGGUGUAGUGGUGAAAUGCGUAGAUAUCGGGAGGAACACCAGUGGCGAAGGCGAUCUUCUGGUCUGUUUCUGACACUCAGACGCGACAGCUAGGGUAGUAAACGGGAUUAGAGACCCCGGUAAUCCUAGCCGUAAACGAUGUAAACUUGGCGUUGGUGGGUUAAACUCCAUCAGUGCCGCAGCAAACGCGAUAAGUUUACCGCCUGGGGACUACGGCCGCGAGGUUA